Molecule: transfer RNA, 447 nt
Filed under: Jaaginema litorale LEGE 07176
Lineage: Bacteria; Bacillati; Cyanobacteriota; Cyanophyceae; Leptolyngbyales; Leptolyngbyaceae
Description: 16S-23S ribosomal RNA intergenic spacer
Rfam family: tRNA (bases 145-218)
Source: RNAcentral
AAAGGGAGACCAAACCCAUUAGACUCCGAAACAUUUUGGAAUAAGAGCUAAUGAGGUCAUCCUAGGUCGGAACGAGGGGCUGACUAUUAAUGCUUUCAAACUAGAGUUCAGGUUAAACCCGAAAAAAAAACUGAAUCGACAAAGGGGCUAUUAGCUCAGGUGGUUAGAGCGCACCCCUGAUAAGGGUGAGGUCCCUGGUUCAAGUCCAGGAUGGCCCAUCAUUAUAUUCUUGUCGAAAACCCGAACGAGUCUCUAGCACCGUUGCCCUCAGCAGCGACUGCUGGACCCUUAAGUUCAGCAUCAGAACCUUGAAAACUGCAUAGUGAAAACAGAAAAGAAGUGAGAACUUCAAAAACAACCUCAAAAUAACUCAAACUCAAAAGUUAUUCAAAAAGAGGGAGUUCAGAAGACUCACAAACAAUCCUAAAUUAAGUUAGUGAACUUAGA